GCUUUACUUUUCUAAAGCCAGAGAGAGAAUGGGGGUGGAGGGAGCAGGGAGGGACCCACGCAGCACAAUGUAGACGGAGUCCAGAUCAGCAUUAUUUCUCAAAUGGGUUCAACGGAUUUUUUUGCAACUCCUACGUUAUUUGGGGAAUUAUCAAUGAUUGAACACUAUAAAUUUCUCCCGGUUGUUUUCCCAGAAGGGUUGACGAAAUUAAUGUGGUUCUUCUCUCUGGCUUUGCAGGUUCUACCCAGUAGUGAACUGCAUUAUUUGUUAGGUUCCUUGUAAUGGCUUCAGUGACAUUGAGAACCUUGAAGGACCAGAGAUUUUUUUUGAGGAUGAACUGGUGUGUAUCCUAAAUAUGGAAGGAAGAAAAGCUUUGACCUGGAAAUACUACGCAAAAAAAAUUCUUUACUACCUGCGGCAACAGAAAAUUUUAAAUAAUCUUAAGGCCUUUCUUCAGCAGCCAGAUGACUAUGAGUCAUAUCUUGAAGGUGCUGUAUAUAUUGACCAGUACUGCAAUCCUCUCUCUGACAUCAGCCUCAAAGACAUCCAGGCCCAAAUUGACAGCAUCGUGGAGCUUGUUUGCAAAACCCUUCGGGGCAUAAACAGUCGCCACCCCAGCUUGGCCUUCAAGGUGAAUCAUCCAUGAUAAUGGAAAUAGAACUCCAGAGCCAGGUACUGGAUGCCAUGAACUAUGUCCUUUAUGACCAACUGAAGUUCAAGGGGAAUCGAAUGGAUUACUAUAAUGCCCUAAACUUAUAUAUGCAUCAGGUUUUGAUUCGCAGAACAGGAAUCCCAAUCAGCAUGUCUCUGCUCUAUUUGACAAUUGCUCGGCAAUUGGGAGUCCCACUGGAGCCUGUCAACUUCCC
This 866-nucleotide small RNA is filed under the name Pongo abelii (Sumatran orangutan). Its description in RNAcentral is "processed transcript". The record is from RNAcentral. Lineage: Eukaryota; Metazoa; Chordata; Mammalia; Primates; Hominidae.